GCCAGGCGUGGUGGUGGGUGCCUGUAAUCCCAGCUACUUGGGAGGCUGAGGCAGGAGAAUCGCUUGAACCCAGGAGGCUGAGGUUGCAGUGAGCCAAAAUCACACCACUGCACUCCAGCCUGGGUAACAGAGUGAGACUCUGUAUUAA
Pongo abelii (Sumatran orangutan) is the source of this 148-nucleotide unclassified non-coding RNA. It matches the Rfam family "Metazoan signal recognition particle RNA". Rfam says of the family: The signal recognition particle (SRP) is a universally conserved ribonucleoprotein. It is involved in the co-translational targeting of proteins to membranes. Lineage: Eukaryota; Metazoa; Chordata; Mammalia; Primates; Hominidae. The record is from Ensembl.